AUUGAACGCUGGCGGCAUGCCUUACACAUGCAAGUCGAACGGCAGCGCGGGAGCAAUCCUGGCGGCGAGUGGCGAACGGGUGAGUAAUAUAUCGGAACGUGCCCAGUAGUGGGGGAUAGCCCGGCGAAAGCCGGAUUAAUACCGCAUGAGACCUGAGGGUGAAAGCGGGGGAUCGCAAGACCUCGCGCUAUUGGAGCGGCCGAUAUCAGAUUAGCUAGUUGGUGGGGUAAAGGCCUACCAAGGCAACGAUCUGUAGUUGGUCUGAGAGGACGACCAGCCACACUGGGACUGAGACACGGCCCAGACUCCUACGGGAGGCAGCAGUGGGGAAUUUUGGACAAUGGGUGCAAGCCUGAUCCAGCAAUGCCGCGUGCAGGAAGAAGGCCU
RNAcentral lists this ribosomal RNA (387 nucleotides) under uncultured bacterium. RNAcentral's name for it is "bacterial SSU rRNA". It matches the Rfam family "Bacterial small subunit ribosomal RNA", at positions 29 to 417 of the family's 1533-position model. The record is from RNAcentral.